This is a long non-coding RNA of Hylaeus anthracinus, 6148 nucleotides long. RefSeq lists it as uncharacterized. The record is from RefSeq and is a predicted model, not a curated record. NCBI's taxonomy places the organism in Eukaryota, Metazoa, Arthropoda, Insecta, Hymenoptera, Colletidae. The transcript is spliced from 3 exons.
CUGGAUGAAAUUUUUCUAGGCUGCCAUUUUUAAGUUUCAAGACUCUAAGCUCCUAGGUCUAUUGUAAAUAUGAGAAUUGUAGAAGAUCAAGAAGGGCAAUUUUUUAUCAAUCAGACACAAGACACCUGGAUACAUUGGAACAUAUUGACACGCCUAGACAACAUUAAAAAAUUCAAGAAAUCAAAGGAGGUUCAAAUCCUGACAAUCUUUCAACUUGUAGACUCGAAGCACCUUUGAUACGUUUAAAAAGCAUAAGUUAUCAAGGAAAGAGGAGUAAUUUUUAACCAGUAGGAUCUUUUAACUUGCAGGCUCAAAGCAGCUGGCGAUAAUACGGAAAUACAAGGGAGCAAGAGGAGAGGAUGGAUUCAGGACCAAUGGCGAUAGGUACACGUGUAAUAUUCGAUAACAGACAGGAAUGUAAAAUACUAGAAAGCAGCUGUCCGCCUUUCGAGCGGCCACGAAAGAGUUUGGAAAGUUGACGAGUGAGAUUCGAAGCGAAGGCCUGGUCGUUGCCGGGAGCAUGGGAUCUGGCGUGGACAUCCCAGAUUCAGCAACGAUUAUAAUUGGCACGGGGAUUGACGUGGCCGUCGCGUCAACCCAAUACGUCCAGACGAAACAGAUUCCAUCAAUCGUCGCUCUUUAGGCCAGCUCUACUUUUGGGGGGAAAAGUGAAAGGUCGCGAUCGCGUAUCGCGAGCUACGAGCAAUUCGACGGCUGUCUUUCACGAGGGAAAGGUCCCGAGGCAUGGCGCUCACUUUUCACGUACUCUCGCUCGACGAUUACGUCGAUUGUUACGUAUGUUUGUAUUGCAGGAGCGAUUUAGCAGGAAAUUGGAAAAUUUCAAGCAGUGAUUCUCUAUGUUGGUAUUGAUGCUGUUGGUUGGUUGGUUUAUGUUUGUCCCUGUUUGUCCCUGUUUGGCUUGAUCUUAAAAGUAAUUUAUUUAAGAAAAUCGUGAAAUUAUACCGAGGCAUACAGGCUAUUAAAUGAUUGAAAAUUCAGUUUGCAUGUACAUGUGUAUGUUUGAGCGCAUAUUACUGUUUGAUUUCUCUCGUAUCUCAGAAGUAAUUUAUCUCAAAAAUUAGCCUGGACAUUAAUGCUAUUAAAUUUUCGAGACAUAUUCAGUUUGCACGCGUGUAUGUGUAUGUAUGAAUGCAAGUAUGCCAACCUUUCGUUUUCUCAAUAUCUCAUUACUGGUUUGCCACAGAAUCUUGAAAUGUCGAAUUGUGAUUUCUCUGUUCGUAGUUAAAUUAUUGAAAAAGAAUAAUUGCAGCCCCAGGGAAAUAUUGACGUAGGUGAACAGUUUAAUUCGUUACGUAGAACUGCGACAAACUGGGUUACGAAAGUAUCAGUAUUUUCGUUCCUGGACCGAUUGCUACCCGUUAACCAUCUCGUUCGAGGUUCAUUUCCGAUGCAGACCGGGCGACAACGAGCAGAAUUGGGUAUUCGUAGGUGGGCGCCUCGACGCGAGGAAAGAACGGCUUUCUGACGGACUUAAAGCGCACGAAUUCGAAUUGGAAAAUGUUCACGACUUCGCAAACUUCCAGUGACCCGUAUUUCGCAGGACUGCGUAAAAUGAUUUUUCUCGAAGUGUCAAAACAGCGACCUCCUUCCCAUUUUGACGAAACUUUGCAUAUUUGGCUAGUGGUAAGUCGCGUUCACGUAGUCGAACUACUUUCCGCGAAUCCAGCCCUUUUAUUGUUCCUGUUUCCUUGAUAUUUUCAAAAUAGGUCCAUUGAGAAUUCGUGUCGAGUUCUAAUACGCCAGUUUAUCGUGUUUGUUCAUACUGGAAAUAAUUCUGUGCUACUAGAUUAAUUUAAACAUUAAAAUUUAAUAGAAAAACAUGAAAAUAAUUGGAACGCUUAACGCAAAAUGAAUUAUUAUUAAAAAUAAUCACGUUGAAACUAGUCGCUAAUAGAUAGCGUAUCUGAUACCGAAGAACAAAUGGAAUCCAACGUACUAACAAUUUCUUUUAUUGUAUCAAUGAUAUCUUGACAAUUAGAAAAGUAUCGAAGCGGUGACAAUUCGAUGAAAUCGUUAACAAACCGGAUAAUUGCUGAACGUCAGUCAGCGUGUAAAGUAUGACACUCAGAGAUACACGAUAUCUCGUCUAUCGUUACUCCUACUGAAAAAAUGGAUAUUACAAAAGUUGUUUUAAAGAAAAUAUUGAAUCGAUUUUGUUCCAUGUCAAUUUUCGAUAGGAUCGACAGUGACCGAGAUAUCGACCCAAACAUUGGAGUCACCAGCAGUAGACAAUUGUUCAAUUUGUUUCCUUGCAUAUAAAAUGCGUUGAAAUUAUUUGUCCAUUGAAAUGAUACUUUCCAUGUAACACAAUGUAAAUUGUUACCCAACUAGUUCGACAAAGUAAUUAAAUACGCGCGACCGUUCGUACAGAAAACGAGAAAUUAAAUCUUAUUCACCAGAGAUGAAACAUGAAACUAAUAUUUUGCCUAAAUUUCAUUUUGAAUAACAAGAUUACGCUCUCUGUUUCGUAAUGAUUGCAUAACAUAUUCAUCACAGGGCGAUGCAGUAUUCCGUGGAUCAUAAUCGUGCAAUCCGUGACUACGGCACUCAUGAAAGCGCGAUGUAUACACUAACAAAUAUGAAUCGUUCGUUAAUGCAGGCUUUGGUAUCACAAUGAAAGUAUCGAUAAGAUUGCGAAUGUUUGCAUUCUUCGUUUGGCGCAUACCUCGUUUCGCCGAACGCGACAUAUCAUAUAAAUAUACAUACAUACGAAGAACUAUCUUUAAAAUAAUUUGAACCGCGAGUUUUGUGUCGGAAGGCCGUUGUUCAUUAGCCACCCGCUUACUGGCAAUUAUUCUAAUACGCGACGAUAAGAGUUUACGAACUUAACGAAGCUAUUAACUUUUUACACGUUCUUUUUAUUAAAAAUGCAAUUAUACGAGCGAUUAAAGGAAAUUCCAAUUAUUUAUCGCUAGUAGACACAUUUCUAUUUAUAACUUACUGUUCUUAUUUGCUUGGAAGGAGUAUCAUUUUUUUUUUUUUAAUGAAAGAAACGACAUGUUUCGAUAAACGGGUAAUUUGAUAAUAGUGAAAAAAGAAUCAUCAGAGUGGGCAGAAUUUUAUUUGAGCAAUAAGUAAGGGAUGAAAUCUGGUGAAAAUAUAAAUUUCUUACUUUGUAUUAAUCGAUUGAAUUUCUUACGGUUGUGACUCUAAAUAAUUCAACGGUAUUCAGUCAGAUAUUUUUAUUAGUCAGAACUCUGGAGUUUAAGGUCAUUACCUUUGAGCUGCGUUUCACGAAUUGUUCCACAGUGACGCCAGGUAUCAUUCCUUGGCAAUCUUGUUGACCAGCACGUAGGCUACCGAUGACUAUUUUUCAGAGGAAAAGAUAACCCAUUGUCCAAGAAAGAAAAUCAACAAGUUUAUUGCGGUAACGAUAUCAUCCAGUAGCAACAGCGAAACUAAUAACUAUACUGCGGAUUUUAUGCAUUCAUGAUGAUUAAUUAUGACAAAUACAGUGGGUGUAGAAAGUCUUCGUACACCGAUCAAUUUCCAAGAAAACUGUGUAAAAUUGUAAUUUAUUAACUUAUUUUUUAUAAACAAUGACAUUCUACGUGUUCUACGAAAUCUUUAGAAUAGAUAGAUUACAAAAAAAAAAUAACUAUUUAUGUAAGUUGCGAAAGUAACAAGAAAAAAACAAUUAAUCGAUAGAAAGCAAUAAGUAUUCGCACAACUGUUUAAAAGUACUUUCCUGGAAAUUUGAUGUUUUCUAAUUCGUACGGAGCAAUGAACUAAUGUGUUUACGUUAGAAACUCUACUGUAAAUAGUUCGUCAUAAGAAUCGUACAAAUACUGAUUGCUUCUAUACUUUUACCCACUUUUCGCAUUUUUUGUUUGUUAAUUUCACAAAUUAUUAUUAACUAGUAAAUGUUGUUUGGACUACAUCUAUCUUAGAGAUUUCCAAGAAUAUGUAUUAGGUUGUGCCAAAAGUUUCUUUCGUUUUAUUAAUAAUUAAUUCAUACACAAUAUUUUAUGUUUUAUGUUACAUUAGAAAAUUGUGUACAAUUCAUUUCGCUCUAUUACUGUUACAGCGUCAAUGUCUAAGAAAUUAGAUUGUCUAUUUAUAUAAACACUGUCACAGAAAACAAUUGAAUACAACUGACGAAAGAAACUUUUCGGACAACCUAAUAAAAUACCAUUGACUAUAAAAAAGGAAGUUAAGAAACUACAAUUUCACACAAAAGUUUUUUGGGAAAUUGAUCGAUGUACGAAUACAUUUUACACCCACUGUAUAUGGUAAACGCAACGAAAAGGUACAUGCACCAAAAUAUUAAUAUAUCAUUGAUCGAUGUUACAAAUUUAAAUUAAUUUCAAUUAAAUUGUAAUGAAUUGAAUUGAAUCAUGUAUGAUUUAAAUAAAAUUUUUACAUUUUAGAUUAAAUUACGUUUAGUCUAACAAUCGUAAAUUCAUAUAUUAUAUUACAUUAGCUAAUAGAAUAUAUUCUACGUGCAUCGCAUACAGUUUUUGUACGUUAUCGUUAUCGGUGUGGACCGUAAAUGCAUAAAAUCAGCAAUCUACUAGCAAUAUUAAGAUGUUAAAAUACGCGUUGUGGCACGGAGCUCAUAUAUUCGCCAGUGCUCGUGUACCUUUCGACGUCACUCGUAGAAAUGAUUCCGACCCGUUCAUCUCGGUAAUCGACGAAAUUCGCUGCAACAGCUGUCAUCGAAUCUAAUCUGUACCCGAUAUUCCGCGAUAAGGGGAUACGGCGACCGGUGUUGCCGUGGAUAUUCCAGCGUGGAAACUCCGCGGGGAAAGUUUGCGCGUUAAAAUUUCGCAAAGGUCGCCUCCUUCGACCGUGGAACUGGAUGGGGAGGAGGGGCACGCGAAGAGAUACAUAUAUUGUUUGAACAGUCGAGUGAUCCUAACUUUGUUUGCGCCAAGUUGCAUCCGAGUUUUCCUUUGGACGAUUUGUUCCGCGGGAAGAUGCUUUUUAUUUCGCUUCUGUUCGGAAUUUUUAUCCCUGGUAUCGACUUUAUUUCGACUGCUGUUAGGAGGCGUUUCUCCGGGCAGAAAUAAAAUGAAAAUCAGGAACGAUGACAUUUCAGUUGGAGGCUUUAUUAUUAUUCUUCUACAAUUGUUAUAACUGGGCGCUAUAAAUUGUUAUAAAUACUUGGAUCUGUUAGAAGAAGAACAAUAAGUCGAUGGCUAUUGAACUUGGUGUAUAUAGGUAAAUUGAAUGGCCAUUGGGUUGAGUCUUAGGUUGCUCGGGGACUUAGAAGGUUGAUAACGUAAUAAAACGAUGAGUAAACAUUUCUACUUGGAGUUACAAAAGAGAUACGUAAUAGAUGAAUAAUAUUUGAUUGAAUACGAAGGCACAGAAUUAACUUCCACAUCUAGUAUAUAUGAGAUAGAGAGUCGAAGGUUCUCCCUUGGGAACAAUUCCAGAAUAAACACCAAAGAGUCAGAACUGUGCUAUCAUUUAAAAUAAAUAUUUAAUAAUCUGGUAUUGUCUUCCAUUUUACACUUAAAGAGUACGCGAAGUAUUAGGUUGUCCCGAAACUUGCCUGGCAGUUGUGUUUUAUGCAGAGUGUUGUGGGAUUUUGCAGUCGAGAUGUGUCAUUAUGUUGUACAAGUGUAGAGAAGUUGCCUGAUUAUUAUUUACGAGGAAAAUUAUGCCUGAUCGUUAAAGACCAUGCAUGGGAAUUUAUUUUACAUUGUUUUCGGUGAAAUUCAUAUCAUUCCAAUUAACGAGGAACAAGGAUACCUGUAAAAUGAUUGACCUAACCCAGAUCUAAUCAUUUAGUUUAUACUUAUUAUUCUCUAUUAUUAUUUUAAAUGAUUAUUUAUUAAAUAUAUUAUUAAAGAGAGAUUUAAUAUUUGUCCACCAGGAUCGUGAAAAUUCUAAAUGAAAUUGAAAUGAAAUUGAAAUGAAUUUAUUCGGCGUUCGCUGGGUAAAAUGUUACUUUCGAACGGGUGAGUUCAUUUUUUCAAAGAUGGCAUGAGCAUAAAGUCUAAUUUGUCAUUGAGAGAGCUCUGUCUUCAAGUGUUUACCAGGUUCGUUUCGUAACGAAAUGUAUAGAGAAUUCUGAAUCUCAACCUUGGUACCAUACUCUAGAAUUGAAAGUUUGCGGAGACGUCAACGUCUACUCCAACUUCCGUUUAACCAAGGAAGUUUGUGAUUUCUUGACACG